Molecule: non-coding RNA, 106 nt
Organism: Acanthosepion pharaonis
Lineage: Eukaryota; Metazoa; Mollusca; Cephalopoda; Sepiida; Sepiidae
Source: the annotation of a GenBank genome assembly
CGGCUACAUUACGUUGAAACAUCGGUUCCCGUACGAUCAACGAAGUUAAGCAAUGAGCCUGGUCAGUACCUAUAUGGGUGACCAUUUGGGAAUAACAGGUGAUGUA